This 490-nucleotide ribosomal RNA is filed under the name uncultured bacterium. Its description in RNAcentral is "partial 16S ribosomal RNA". It matches the Rfam family "Bacterial small subunit ribosomal RNA", at positions 30 to 507 of the family's 1533-position model. The record is from RNAcentral.
AUUGAACGCUGGCGGCAGGCCUAACACAUGCAAGUCGAACGGUAACAGGAAGCAGCUUGCUGCUUCGCUGACGAGUGGCGGCCGGGUGAGUAAUGUCUGGGAAGCUGCCUGAUGGAGGGGGAUAACUACUGGAAACGGUAGCUAAUACCGCAUAAUGUCGCAAGACCAAAGAGGGGGACCUUCGGGCCUCUUGCCAUCGGAUGUGCCCAGAUGGGAUUAGCUUGUUGGUGGGGUAACGGCUCACCAAGGCGACGAUCCCUAGCUGGUCUGAGAGGAUGACCAGCCACACUGGGACUGAGACACGGUCCAGACUCCUACGGGAGGCAGCAGUUGGGAAUAUUGCACAAUGGGCGCAAGCCUGAUGCAGCCAUGCCGCGUGUAUGAAGAAGGCCUUCGGGUUGUAAAGUACUUUCAGCGGGGAGGAAGGGAGUAAAGUUAAUACCUUUGCUCAUUGACGUUACCCGCAGAAGAAGCACCGGCUAACUCCGUG